UGGGGAAUUUUGGACAAUGGGGGAAACCCUGAUCCAGCCAUCCCGCGUGUGCGAUGAAGGCCUUCGGGUUGUAAAGCACUUUUGGCAGGAAAGAAACGUCAUGGGUUAAUACCCCGUGAAACUGACGGUACCUGCAGAAUAAGUACCGGCUAACUACGUGCCAGCAGCCGCGGUAAUACGUAGGGUGCAAGCGUUAAUCGGAAUUACUGGGCGUAAAGCGUGCGCAGGCGGUUCGGAAAGAAAGAUGUGAAAUCCCAGAGCUCAACUUUGGAACUGCAUUUUUAACUACCGGGCUAGAGUGUGUCAGAGGGAGGUGGAAUUCCGCGUGUGGCAGUGAAAUGCGUAGAUAUGCGGAGGAACACCGAUGGCGAAGGCAGCCUCCUGGGAUAACUCUGACGCUCAUGCACGAAAGCGUGGGGAGCAAACAGG
RNAcentral lists this ribosomal RNA (429 nucleotides) under Acidobacteriota bacterium. RNAcentral describes it as "Acidobacteria bacterium partial 16S ribosomal RNA". It matches the Rfam family "Bacterial small subunit ribosomal RNA", at positions 355 to 776 of the family's 1533-position model. Lineage: Bacteria; Pseudomonadati; Acidobacteriota. The record is from RNAcentral.